Molecule: ribosomal RNA, 803 nt
Filed under: Actinophytocola sp.
Lineage: Bacteria; Bacillati; Actinomycetota; Actinomycetes; Pseudonocardiales; Pseudonocardiaceae
Description: bacterial SSU rRNA
Rfam family: Bacterial small subunit ribosomal RNA
Source: RNAcentral
CGAUGAAGCCCAUUUCGGGGGUGGAUUAGUGGCGAACGGGUGAGUAACACGUGGGUAACCUGCCCUUGGCUUUGGGAUAAGCCCUGGAAACGGGGUCUAAUACCGGAUAUGACCAGUCCUCGCAUGGGGGUUGGUGGAAAGUUCCGGCGGCCAGGGAUGGGCCCGCGGCCUAUCAGCUUGUUGGUGGGGUGAUGGCCUACCAAGGCGACGACGGGUAGCCGGCCUGAGAGGGCGACCGGCCACACUGGGACUGAGACACGGCCCAGACUCCUACGGGAGGCAGCAGUGGGGAAUAUUGCACAAUGGGCGAAAGCCUGAUGCAGCGACGCCGCGUGAGGGAUGACGGCCUUCGGGUUGUAAACCUCUUUCGACAGGGACGAAGCGAGAGUGACGGUACCUGUAGAAGAAGCACCGGCUAACUACGUGCCAGCAGCCGCGGUAAUACGUAGGGUGCGAGCGUUGUCCGGAAUUAUUGGGCGUAAAGAGCUCGUAGGCGGUUUGUCGCGUCGACUGUGAAAACCUGGGGCUUAACUCUGGGCCUGCAGUCGAUACGGGCAGACUUGAGUUCGGUAGGGGAGACUGGAAUUCCUGGUGUAGCGGUGAAAUGCGCAGAUAUCAGGAGGAACACCGGUGGCGAAGGCGGGUCUCUGGGCCGAUACUGACGCUGAGGAGCGAAAGCGUGGGGAGCGAACAGGAUUAGAUACCCUGGUAGUCCACGCUGUAAACGUUGGGCGCUAGGUGUGGGGAGCAUUCAUGUUUUCCGUGCCGUAGCUAACGCAUUAAGCGCCCCGCCUGGGGAGUAC